AUUGAACGCUGGCGGCAGGCUUAACACAUGCAAGUCGAGCGGGGUGAUGGUGCUUGCACUAUCACUUAGCGGCGGACGGGUGAGUAAUGCUUAGGAAUCUGCCUAUUAGUGGGGGACAACAUCUCGAAAGGGAUGAUAAUACCGCAUACGUCCUACGGGAGAAAGCAGGGGAUCACUUGUGACCUUGCGCUAAUAGAUGAGCCUAAGUCGGAUUAGCUAGUUGGUGGGGUAAAGGCCUACCAAGGCGACGAUCUGUAGCGGGUCUGAGAGGAUGAUCCGCCACACUGGGACUGAGACACGGCCCAGACUCCUACGGGAGGCAGCAGUGGGGAAUAUUGGACAAUGGGGGGAGCCCUGAUCCAGCCAUGCCGCGUGUGUGAAGAAGGCCUUAUGGUUGUAAAGCACUUUAAGCGAGGAGGAGGCUCUUUUGGUUAAUACCCAAGAUGAGUGGACGUUACUCGCAGAAUAAGCACCGGCUAACUCUGUGCCAGCAGCCGCAGUAA
This 503-nucleotide ribosomal RNA is filed under the name uncultured bacterium. Its description in RNAcentral is "partial 16S ribosomal RNA". It matches the Rfam family "Bacterial small subunit ribosomal RNA", at positions 30 to 523 of the family's 1533-position model. The record is from RNAcentral.